AGCGUACACGGUGGAUGCCCUGGCAGUCAGAGGCGAUGAAGGGCGUGCUAAUCUGCGAUAAGCGCCGGUAAGGUGAUAUGAACCGUUAUAACCGGCGAUACCCGAAUGGGGAAACCCAGUGUGAUUCGUCACACUAUCAUUAACUGAAUCCAUAGGUUAAUGAGGCGAACCGGGGGAACUGAAACAUCUAAGUACCCCGAGGAAAAGAAAUCAACCGAGAUUCCCCCAGUAGCGGCGAGCGAACGGGGAGGAGCCCAGAGCCUGAAUCAGCAUGUGUGUUAGUGGAAGCGUCUGGAAAGGCGCGCGAUACAGGGUGACAGCCCCGUACACAAAAGCGCAUGUGCUGUGAGCUCGAUGAGUAGGGCGGGACACGUGGUAUCCUGUCUGAAUAUGGGGGGACCAUCCUCCAAGGCUAAAUACUCCUGACUGACCGAUAGUGAACCAGUACCGUGAGGGAAAGGCGAAAAGAACCCCGGCGAGGGGAGUGAAAAAGAACCUGAAACCGUGUACGUACAAGCAGUGGGAGCACAGGUUUACCUGUGUGACUGCGUACCUUUUGUAUAAUGGGUCAGCGACUUAUAUUCUGUAGCAAGGUUAACCGAAUAGGGGAGCCGGAGGGAAACCGAGUCUUAAUUGGGCGUUAAGUUGCAGGGUAUAGACCCGAAACCCGGUGAUCUAGCCAUGGGCAGGUUGAAGGUUGGGUAACACUAACUGGAGGACCGAACCGACUAAUGUUGAAAAAUUAGCGGAUGACCUGUGGCUGGGGGUGAAAGGCCAAUCAAACCGGGAGAUAGCUGGUUCUCCCCGAAAGCUAUUUAGGUAGCGCCUCGUGAAUUCAUCUCCGGGGGUAGAGCACUGUUUCGGCUAGGGGGCCAUCCCGGCUUACCAACCCGAUGCAAACUGCGAAUACCGGAGAAUGUUAUCACGGGAGACACACGGCGGGUGCUAACGUCCGUCGUGAAGAGGGAAACAACCCAGACCGCCAGCUAAGGUCCCAAAGUCAUGGUUAAGUGGGAAACGAUGUGGGAAGGCCCAGACAGCCAGGAUGUUGGCUUAGAAGCAGCCAUCAUUUAAAGAAAGCGUAAUAGCUCACUGGUCGAGUCGGCCUGCGCGGAAGAUGUAACGGGGCUAAACCAUGCACCGAAGCUGCGGCAGCGAACGUAUCACCCAAGACAACUUUACGGAGUUGACGAUUGACGGAGCGAAGCGACGUCAAAGCGUUCAUUAAAGUCGAGUUGGCUUAGGGAUACGUUCGUUGGGUAGGGGAGCGUUCUGUAAGCCUGUGAAGGUGUGUCGUGAGGCAUGCUGGAGGUAUCAGAAGUGCGAAUGCUGACAUAAGUAACGAUAAAGCGGGUGAAAAGCCCGCUCGCCGGAAGACCAAGGGUUCCUGUCCAACGUUAAUCGGGGCAGGGUGAGUCGACCCCUAAGGCGAGGCCGAAAGGCGUAGUCGAUGGGAAACGGGUUAAUAUUCCCGUACUUGGUGUUACUGCGAAGGGGGGACGGAGAAGGCUAUGUUGGCCGGGCGACGGUUGUCCCGGUUUAAGCGUGUAGGUGUGUGUUCCAGGUAAAUCCGGUUCACUUUAACACUGAGGCGUGACGACGAGGCACUACGGUGCUGAAGCAACAAAUGCCCUGCUUCCAGGAAAAGCCUCUAAGCAUCAGGUAACACGAAAUCGUACCCCAAACCGACACAGGUGGUCAGGUAGAGAAUACCAAGGCGCUUGAGAGAACUCGGGUGAAGGAACUAGGCAAAAUGGUGCCGUAACUUCGGGAGAAGGCACGCUGACACGUAGGUGAAGUGAUUUACUCAUGGAGCUGAAGUCAGUCGAAGAUACCAGCUGGCUGCAACUGUUUAUUAAAAACACAGCACUGUGCAAACACGAAAGUGGACGUAUACGGUGUGACGCCUGCCCGGUGCCGGAAGGUUAAUUGAUGGGGUCAGCGUAAGCGAAGCUCCUGAUCGAAGCCCCGGUAAACGGCGGCCGUAACUAUAACGGUCCUAAGGUAGCGAAAUUCCUUGUCGGGUAAGUUCCGACCUGCACGAAUGGCGUAAUGAUGGCCAGGCUGUCUCCACCCGAGACUCAGUGAAAUUGAACUCGCUGUGAAGAUGCAGUGUACCCGCGGCAAGACGGAAAGACCCCGUGAACCUUUACUAUAGCUUGACACUGAACAUUGAGCCUUGAUGUGUAGGAUAGGUGGGAGGCUUUGAAGUGUGGACGCCAGUCUGCAUGGAGCCGACCUUGAAAUACCACCCUUUAAUGUUUGAUGUUCUAACGUGGACCCGUAAUCCGGGUUGCGGACAGUGUCUGGUGGGUAGUUUGACUGGGGCGGUCUCCUCCUAAAGAGUAACGGAGGAGCACGAAGGUUGGCUAAUCCUGGUCGGACAUCAGGAGGUUAGUGCAAUGGCAUAAGCCAGCUUGACUGCGAGCGUGACGGCGCGAGCAGGUGCGAAAGCAGGUCAUAGUGAUCCGGUGGUUCUGAAUGGAAGGGCCAUCGCUCAACGGAUAAAAGGUACUCCGGGGAUAACAGGCUGAUACCGCCCAAGAGUUCAUAUCGACGGCGGUGUUUGGCACCUCGAUGUCGGCUCAUCACAUCCUGGGGCUGAAGUAGGUCCCAAGGGUAUGGCUGUUCGCCAUUUAAAGUGGUACGCGAGCUGGGUUUAGAACGUCGUGAGACAGUUCGGUCCCUAUCUGCCGUGGGCGCUGGAGAACUGAGGGGGGCUGCUCCUAGUACGAGAGGACCGGAGUGGACGCAUCACUGGUGUUCGGGUUGUCAUGCCAAUGGCACUGCCCGGUAGCUAAAUGCGGAAGAGAUAAGUGCUGAAAGCAUCUAAGCACGAAACUUGCCCCGAGAUGAGUUCU
RNAcentral lists this ribosomal RNA (2861 nucleotides) under Salmonella enterica subsp. enterica serovar Typhimurium. Its description in RNAcentral is "bacterial LSU rRNA". It matches the Rfam family "Bacterial large subunit ribosomal RNA". The record is from RNAcentral. Lineage: Bacteria; Pseudomonadati; Pseudomonadota; Gammaproteobacteria; Enterobacterales; Enterobacteriaceae.